Molecule: ribosomal RNA, 2212 nt
Filed under: Staphylococcus delphini
Lineage: Bacteria; Bacillati; Bacillota; Bacilli; Caryophanales; Staphylococcaceae
Description: partial 23S ribosomal RNA
Rfam family: Bacterial large subunit ribosomal RNA
Source: RNAcentral
AGAUUAAGUUAUUAAGGGCGCACGGUGGAUGCCUUGGCACUAGAAGCCGAUGAAGGACGUUACUAACGACGAUAUGCUUUGGGGAGCUGUAAGUAAGCUUUGAUCCAGAGAUUUCCGAAUGGGGAAACCCAGCACGAGUUAUGUCGUGUUAUCUGCAUGUGAAUACAUAGCAUGCAAGAAGGCAGACCCGGAGAACCGAAACAUCUUAGUACCCGGAGGAAGAGAAAGAAAAAUCGAUUCCCUGAGUAGCGGCGAGCGAAACGGGAAGAGCCCAAACCAAUAAGCUUGCUUAUUGGGGUUGUAGGACACUCUGUACGGAGUUACAAAAGAAUUUGUUAGACGAAUAACCUGGAAAGGUUAAUCAUAGAAGGUAAUAAUCCUGUAGUCGAAAACAAAUUCUCUCUUGAGUGGAUCCUGAGUACGACGGAGCACGUGAAAUUCCGUCGGAAUCUGGGAGGACCAUCUCCUAAGGCUAAAUACUCUCUAGUGACCGAUAGUGAACCAGUACCGUGAGGGAAAGGUGAAAAGUACCCCGGAAGGGGAGUGAAAGAGAACUUGAAACCGUGUGCUUACAAGUAGUCAGAGCCCGUUAAUGGGUGAUGGCGUGCCUUUUGUAGAAUGAACCGGCGAGUUACGAUCUGAUGCAAGGUUAAGCAGAAAAUGUGGAGCCGUAGCGAAAGCGAGUCUGAAUAGGGCGAAUGAGUAUUUGGUCGUAGACCCGAAACCAGGUGAUCUACCCUUGGUCAGGUUGAAGUUCAGGUAACACUGAAUGGAGGACCGAACCGACUUACGUUGAAAAGUGAGCGGAUGAACUGAGGGUAGCGGAGAAAUUCCAAUCGAACUUGGAGAUAGCUGGUUCUCUCCGAAAUAGCUUUAGGGCUAGCCUCAAGUGAUGAUUAUUGGAGGUAGAGCACUGUUUGGACGAGGGGCCCCUCUCGGGUUACCGAAUUCAGACAAACUCCGAAUGCCAAAUAAUUUAACUUGGGAGUCAGAAUGUGGGUGAUAAGGUCCAUAUUCGAAAGGGAAACAGCCCAGACCACCAGCUAAGGUCCCAAAAUAUAUGUUAAGUGGAAAAGGAUGUGGCGUUGCCCAGACAACUAGGAUGUUGGCUUAGAAGCAGCCAUCAUUUAAAGAGUGCGUAAUAGCUCACUAGUCGAGUGACACUGCGCCGAAAAUGUACCGGGGCUAAACAUAUUACCGAAGCUGUGGAUUGUCCUUUGGACAAUGGUAGGAGAGCGUUCUAAGGGCGUUGAAGCAUGAUCGCAAGGACAUGUGGAGCGCUUAGAAGUGAGAAUGCCGGUGUGAGUAGCGAAAGACGGGUGAGAAUCCCGUCCACCGAUUGACUAAGGUUUCCAGAGGAAGGCUCGUCCGCUCUGGGUUAGUCGGGUCCUAAGCUGAGGCCGACAGGCGUAGGCGAUGGAUAACAGGUUGAUAUUCCUGUACCACCAUUAUUCGUUUUAAGCGAUGGGGGGGACGCAGUAGGAUAGGCGAAGCGUGCUGUUGGAGUGCACGUCCAAGCAGUGAGAUUGAGUGUUAGGCAAAUCCGGCACUCUUAAGAUUGAGCUGUGAUGGGGAGAGGAACUUGUUCCUCGAGUCGUUGAUUUCACACUGCCGAGAAAAGCCUCUAGCUAGAAUAACGGUGCCCGUACCGCAAACCGACACAGGUAGUCAAGAUGAGAAUUCUAAGGUGAGCGAGCGAACUCUCGUUAAGGAACUCGGCAAAAUGACCCCGUAACUUCGGGAGAAGGGGUGCUCUUUGAGGUUCACGCUUCGAAGAGCCGCAGUGAAUAGGCCCAAGCGACUGUUUAUCAAAAACACAGGUCUCUGCUAAACCGUAAGGUGACGUAUAGGGGCUGACGCCUGCCCGGUGCUGGAAGGUUAAGAGGAGUGGUUAGCGCAAGCGAAGCUACGAAUCGAAGCCCCAGUAAACGGCGGCCGUAACUAUAACGGUCCUAAGGUAGCGAAAUUCCUUGUCGGGUAAGUUCCGACCCGCACGAAAGGCGUAACGAUUUGGGCACUGUCUCAACGAGAGACUCGGUGAAAUCAUAGUACCGGUGAAGAUGCCGGUUACCCGCGACAGGACGGAAAGACCCCGUGGAGCUUUACUGUAGCCUGAUAUUGAAAUUCGGUACAGUUUGUACAGGAUAGGUAGGAGCCUUAGAAGCGUGAGCGCUAGCUUACGUGGAGGCAUUGGUGGGAUACUACCCUAAUU